RNAcentral lists this long non-coding RNA (500 nucleotides) under Vigna radiata. RNAcentral's name for it is "long non-coding RNA (VRAD_LNC007379)". Lineage: Eukaryota; Viridiplantae; Streptophyta; Magnoliopsida; Fabales; Fabaceae. The record is from RNAcentral.
AAAAGUUGACGGGGCAUAUGAAUGAAUGAAUGAAUGAAUGGUUUUCAGAGGAGGAAGCCACAGCGCAUGUGCCAACUUGAUCAAAUGAUGGAUCGUUUCAAGAACAAAAACUAUGUGGUGGUCGGCUGAUGCUGAUUCUCAUCACACUCAUCACAACCUCAACAUAAACCAAAAAUCACAUGCAUCUGUAACGUGUACUUUGAGUUCACUAUAAUUCCACACCAUAUUCCUUCAAUGUUAAUUUCUCUCUCUCUAUAUAUAUUUAUAUGUGUUUGUCUCUGUCUAGCUAGUUUGCUACGUACGUAACAUUAUAUAGCCGUAGCAGCAGAGGCAUAUAAAUAUAUAUUUCAUGCAGAUAUGGGAUUCGUAUCUAUGAGUUCAGUUUGAUUACAGUUUUUAAAUGCUGGUUUUAGAAUCACUAAUUUGUUUUGUUGGAUGGGUUAAGCGAAUAUGAUAUAGAUGUCAUUUGAUUUGAUUCUGCUCUGUUAGUAAUUAAUUAU